AGAGUUUGAUCCUGGCUCAGGAUGAACGCUGGCGGCGUGCCUAACACAUGCAAGUCGAACGGUUAAGGCGGCUUCGGCCGCGAAUAAAGUGGCGAACGGGUGAGUAACGCGUGACCGACCUUCCCCCCGCACCGGGACAACCGCGGGAAACCGCGGCUGAUACCGGGUACUCCGGGGCCCCCGCAUGGGGGCCCCGGGAAAGCUCCGGCGGCGGGGGAUGGGGUCGCGUCCCAUCAGGUAGUAGGCGGGGCAACGGCCCACCUAGCCGACGACGGGUAGCCGGGUUGAGAGACCGACCGGCCACAUUGGGACUGAGAUACGGCCCAGACUCCUACGGGAGGCAGCAGUGGGGAAUUUUGCGCAAUGGGGGCAACCCUGACGCAGCAACGCCGCGUGCGGGACGACGGCCUUCGGGUUGUAAACCGCUUUCAGCAGGGAAGAACCUUUGACGGUACCUGCAGAAGAAGCCCCGGCUAACUACGUGCCAGCAGCCGCGGUAAUACGUAGGGGGCGAGCGUUAUCCGGAAUGAUUGGGCGUAAAGCGCGCGCAGGCGGCCGCUCAAGCGGGACCUCUAACCCCGGGGCUCAACCCCGGGCCGGGUCCCGAACUGGGCGGCUCGAGUGCGGUAGGGGAGAGCGGAAUUCCAAGUGUAGCGGUGAAAUGCGCAGAUAUUUGGAAGAACACCGAUGGCGAAGGCAGCUCUCUGGGCCGUCACUGACGCUGAGGCGCGAAAGCCGGGGGAGCGAACAGGAUUAGAUACCCUGGUAGUCCCGGCCGUAAACGAUGGGCGCUAGGUGUGGGGAAACAUUUUCUCCGUGCCGCAGCCAACGCAUUAAGCGCCCCGCCUGGGGAGUACGGCGGCAAC
Molecule: ribosomal RNA, 866 nt
Filed under: human gut metagenome
Description: bacterial SSU rRNA
Rfam family: Bacterial small subunit ribosomal RNA
Source: RNAcentral